This is a long non-coding RNA of Daphnia carinata, 985 nucleotides long. RefSeq lists it as uncharacterized. NCBI's taxonomy places the organism in Eukaryota, Metazoa, Arthropoda, Branchiopoda, Diplostraca, Daphniidae. The transcript has 3 exons. The record is from RefSeq and is a predicted model, not a curated record.
CCAUCUCUUCGCUGCCCUUUUAUAAAAGGUACACCUGCACGUGGCUGGAAAAAAAAAAAUGGCGCAGCCGUGACAAAUGAUUUAAAGCUAAAGAAGCCAGUUCACUUGUUUUGCCCGCUGUCUCGCCAAUGGUACGACCUUGGUAACCCCCUUUUUCGUUCAAUGCAGCUCGUCGAUGGGAACCCUGAAAUUCGCUCAGCGCCUAAAGCUCUAUUUUCGACAACAAAACAAAAAAAUCGUCAAGAAUUUAAGACAGGAAAUGGAGUAAGGCCAGCCUCUGUUUCGAUCGUGAUGAAAAUUUGAUUGUUUGAAAAAAAAGAAAAAAAAAAAAAAAAAAAAACUAAAAACAAGAAGGCGUUGGCUUAAAGGUAAAUUAAAAAUUAGACGACGACAACAGCUGGAGAAAAAAAAAAAUACAUAUCUAUUUAUCGAUGGCCUUUGGAUUUUCCAUGUUGGAAAGGGAAUGAUAUGGUGCAACGUAAUGUUUCGUUCGUCGACCUGUUUGAAUCGGAGUAUGCCGACCUUGUUGAGUACCACCAUCCACUUCGUUCGUGUUUCCCCGCUCAUUGAUUGACGCACUUCCGCGUCUCCAGAACGUAACGCAGCCGUUCUCCCUACAAAUUACUGAUUGAUUUCUAAUGAGUGUGAACGUGAGUCAUCGCUCUGCUACGGUCAUACCUGUUCAAACGUUCCAGAUCCCCCUUCCAAAAGAAAAAAAAUUGACUUUACAGAAAUUGCAGAACUCGGAUCCCGCAUCCCGAGCCGGAAUGUGAAUGGGAGAGGAACAGACAAGAUGUUGGCCUAUAUUUAAACGCUAAACCCAAAUAGGGUUCGUGAAGGCUGUCAAUGGCGCAGUUUACGUUUGUUUUGUACGUUCGUUCGCUCUGCAAGGUCAUGGAAAAUUCAAGAAUUGCUGUGGUCAUUAUUAUCCACUCUGGUUACAACCAGCUCCGAUUUUCACCGACACAAAAAACAAUUUCCCUAA